Molecule: long non-coding RNA, 500 nt
Organism: Malaclemys terrapin pileata
Lineage: Eukaryota; Metazoa; Chordata; Testudines; Emydidae
Exons: 4
Source: RefSeq, a predicted model, not a curated record
CUCAGUUCUUACAAGCAGCUAUUCCUGUCACAGGAAUGUAACCAAGGGUGAACAUGAAAAAGCAAAGAGGCUGCUCCCCGUUUGGUCAUCAGUGAAGAGGAAUUCUACCAAAUUCACAAAAGAGGCCUAGGUGACCUGGCCUUUGGCAGCCUGAAACCAACACAUCGUUUCUUGAACAUGAAUACCUAUAACAAAAAAUACAACCCACAAAUUCACAGAUGAAAAUAUCAAUUGCUGACUCUCCAUGUUUAUUCUAUUAACGGGAUAGAAAGAAAUAGAGGUAUCUCAACUACUGUGGAACAACAAGUAAAAACUUCACUUCAUGGACUGCAUGGAAACAAUCUUUUUCAAAAGAAUUUGAAAACUUUUGCUUGAAAACCAGAACACAAAGUCGUGGAGCCCAUGGAAUGCAACACAUCACAAAACUGAGAAGUGCAGAAGACAAUUGGAUAUCUUUUGGGUCAAUUGAUUGAUAAGUGAGACCGCUGAACUAUCUUAAU